Molecule: long non-coding RNA, 302 nt
Organism: Oxyura jamaicensis (ruddy duck)
Lineage: Eukaryota; Metazoa; Chordata; Aves; Anseriformes; Anatidae
Exons: 2
Source: RefSeq, a predicted model, not a curated record
CCACUGAGAGAUUCAGCCUUUCUUUUUCAGCUGGGUGGAACUAUUGGAGACAUUGAAGGAAUGCCAUUUGUUGAAGCAUUUAGACAGUUUCAGUUCAAAGCAAAAAGAGAGAACUUCUGUAACAUCCAUGUCAGUCUAGUACCACAGCCUAAUGCCACCGGUGAACAGAAGACAAAACCAACACAGAACAGUGUUCGAGCACUGAGGGGUCUAGGCUUGUCUCCAGAUUUGGUGAGUUCAUUAGUCAAUAAAUGCAGAGUUUUGGUUAUGGGUCAUCUAGAAGUAUCUAUGAAUAACCAGUG